RNAcentral lists this ribosomal RNA (497 nucleotides) under uncultured bacterium. RNAcentral's name for it is "partial 16S ribosomal RNA". It matches the Rfam family "Bacterial small subunit ribosomal RNA", at positions 28 to 507 of the family's 1533-position model. The record is from RNAcentral.
GAUGAACGCUGGCGGCGUGCCUAAUACAUGCAAGUCGAGCGAACAGAUGAGGAGCUUGCUCCUCUGACGUUAGCGGCGGACGGGUGAGUAACACGUGGAUAACCUACCUAUAAGACUGGGAUAACUUCGGGAAACCGGAGCUAAUACCGGAUAAUAUAUUGAACCGCAUGGUUCAAUAGUGAAAGACGGUUUUGCUGUCACUUAUAGAUGGAUCCGCGCCGCAUUAGCUAGUUGGUAAGGUAACGGCUUACCAAGGCGACGAUGCGUAGCCGACCUGAGGGGGUGAUCGGCCACACUGGAACUGAGACACGGUCCAGACUCCUACGGGAGGCAGCAGUAGGGAAUCUUCCGCAAUGGGCGAAAGCCUGACGGAGCAACGCCGCGUGAGUGAUGAAGGUCUUCGGAUCGUAAAACUCUGUUAUUAAGGAAGAACAAAUGUGUAAGUAACUAUGCACGUCUUGACGGUACCUAAUCAGAAAGCCACGGCUAACUACGUG